AACGCAUAUUGCGCCCUUUGGUAUUCCGAAGGGCAUGCCUGUUCGAGCGUCAUUAUCAACCAUCAAGCCCGGCUUGUUAUUGGGUCCUGGUAUCGUUAAAAGAUAGGCCUAAAAGGUAAUGGCGGUGUCGAGUUUUGGCCCCUGGUGCAGCGAGCUUUAAGCAUACACCGAGGCGGUCUACUCGGCCUGGCCUUGUCAAACCCAUUUUCUUCAAGGUUGACCUCGGAUCAGGUAGGAUUACCCGCUGAACUUAA
RNAcentral lists this unclassified non-coding RNA (254 nucleotides) under uncultured fungus. Its description in RNAcentral is "sequence contains ITS2". The stretch from base 1 to 52 matches the Rfam family "5.8S ribosomal RNA", at positions 103 to 154 of the family's 154-position model. Lineage: Eukaryota; Fungi. The record is from RNAcentral.